This 1070-nucleotide ribosomal RNA is filed under the name uncultured Planococcus sp. Its description in RNAcentral is "bacterial SSU rRNA". It matches the Rfam family "Bacterial small subunit ribosomal RNA", at positions 136 to 1174 of the family's 1533-position model. The record is from RNAcentral. Lineage: Bacteria; Bacillati; Bacillota; Bacilli; Caryophanales; Caryophanaceae.
UAUCGGGAUAACUCCUUUGGGAAACCAUGGGUGCUAAUACCGAAUAGUUUGCGGCCUCUCAUGAGGCCACACGGAAAGACGGUUUCGGCUGUCACUGCAGGAUGGGCCCGCGGCGCAUUAGCUAGUUGUAGUGUGAGGAUAACGGCUCACCAAGGCCACGAUGCGUAGCCGACCUGAGAGGGUGAUCGGCCACACUGGGACUGAGACACGGCCCAGACUGUCGGGAGGCAGCAGUAGGGAAUCUUCCGCAAUGGACGAAAGUCUGACGGAGCAACGCCGCGUGAGUGAAGAAGGUUUUCGGAUCGUAAAACUCUGUUGUGAGGGAAGAACAAGUACCAAGUAACUACUGGUACCUUGACGGUACCUCACCAGAAAGCCACGGCUAACUACGUGCCAGCAGCCGCGGUAAUACGUAGGUGGCAAGCGUUGUCCGGAAUUAUUGGGCGUAAAGCGCGCGCAGGCGGUCCUUUAAGUCUGAUGUGAAAGCCCACGGCUCAACCGUGGAGGGUCAUUGGAAACUGGGGGACUUGAGUGCAGAAGAGGAAAGUGGAAUUCCACGUGUAGCGGUGAAAUGCGUAGAGAUGUGGAGGAACACCAGUGGCGAAGGCGACUUUCUGGUCUGUAACUGACKCUGAGGCGCGAAAGCGUGGGGAGCAAACAGGAUUAGAUACCCUGGUAGUCCACGCCGUAAACGAUGAGUGCUAAGUGUUAGGGGGUUUCCGCCCCUUAGUGCUGCAGCUAACGCAUUAAGCACUCCGCCUGGGGAGUACGGCCGCAAGGCUGAAACUCAAAGGAAUUGACGGGGGCCCGCACAAGCGGUGGAGCAUGUGGUUUAAUUCGAAGCAACGCGAAGAACCUUACCAGGUCUUGACAUCCCGCUGACCGCCUAGGAGACUAGGCUUGUAUGUCGUACCUUCGGGGUACAGCGGUGACAGGUGGUGCAUGGUUGUCGUCAGCUCGUGUCGUGAGAUGUUGGGUUAAGUCCCGCAACGAGCGCAACCCUUGAUCUUAGUUGCCAGCAUUCAGUUGGGCACUCUAAGGUGACUGCCGGUGACAAACCGGAGGAAGGU